GCCAAUUUUCUUAUCCAAAUUAUAUGCCUCCAUUAUCUGAUAAUAAUGAAGCCAAUCUCUCACUUUAUUUUUUAAUUUCUCAAAACUCUGCAAUUUCAAUUUGUCUCCUUCUUGUUCCACCACACAUCCUUCCACAGUGGGGACAUAGGUUUCCGGGCAGGAGUUGAUCAUGGUGAGGGUUUGCCCAGCGUGCCUUCCUCUUAGCAAGUUUCUCCCUUUCAUCCCGAGUUUGAGUGUCUUCAAAACCCAUGACACCUUUGGUAAAGGCUAUUCUCCAGUUGGAACGCUGGCAGGUCAGUGUUUCCCAGUUGUCGGUGUUUAUACUACAUUUUUUUAGAUUUGCCUUGAGCGAGACUUUAAACCUCUUUUGUUGACCACCAGCAUUAUGCUUUCCAUUUUUAAGUUCAGAAUAGAGUAGUUGCUUUGGAAGACGAUAAUCAGGCAUCCGCACAACAUGACCAGUCCCACGAAGUUGAUGAUUGCUUUGACACUGAUGAUCUUUGCUUCUUCCAGUACAAUGGCAUUAGUUCACCUGGCUUCCCAAGGUGAUGUGUAAAAAUUUUUCUAAGACACCGUGGAUGGAAUAAUUCGAAGCGUUGGAGAUGGCAUGAAAGUAAACCCCAGUGAACUCUCUCAGUGGGACUUUCAAAUAGACAUAAAAUGAAUUACACUGCAGCCCUGGGCAGUCAUUGCUGUCUCCGCCUUUGCGAUGACAUAAACUGGAGUCAAGAGAAGGAAGUAGACACUGCGGCUGUUCUAAAACGUUUGCCCACAAACGUUUGCCGCAGCUCAGAGGGGAAGAGAUGUGGAUCAUCUGGUGUGUGGCCACUUGCCUCUUGGAAGUAGGUAAGACCUUCACUCAAUGAUUCUUAUUUAAGACAUUGUUUUAAAGGGUUUCUUCACAAGCUUCCCUCUCCCUCUCUCCCCCAGGAUGGUCCAAUGCAGAGAUCAGGCAGCAGUGGAGUCUGGUGCUUCAGGAAGGCAGAAAUGCCAGGCUGGAAUGCGAACAAACUACCGACCACAACAGCAUGUUUUGGUUCCGGCAAGACCCAGGACAGGGUCUGCAGCUUCUCUUUAGUUUCUAUUUAAACCAGCUACAGCAUCAAGGCAACAUUUCUGAGCGUUUCCAAGCUGAGCAGCGUGAAACAAAGCAAUGCCACCUUAACAUUUCCCCAGCCAGAACAGAGGAUUCAGCCGUGUAUUUCUGUGCAAGCAGCAAAGACACAGCAUUUCAAAGUCACCUCUUCUUCCUACCAAAACCUCACUUCAUUGAUGUGCAUGGAGGGUAGAGCGAAGAUGACUUAUCCAGUGGCAGAGGGUUCUUAACCCCACAAUGGCCAGCGCUCAGCUGCAAAAGCAGACGAUUGUUUUAAUUGAUGUUGGACCAGCUGGGCUCUGAAAUUAGAACUGAGCAUGGCUUGCUAAGAGGGGGGUUGUUGGGAAACUGUGUACGUGCAGCUCCUCACACAGAGUCAAUUAAGGUUUGGCAGACAGCCAGAAGGCAAUCUGAAGGAGUAAGUCUGCCUGGAGAUAACAGAGACAUGGAGACCGCUCCCUGAUUGGUCAAGCUCUCUCAAGGGAGUAAUAAUUAAUGGCCUACUAACUAGAAUGUGUUAGUUCAGGAGUUCAUUGUUCAGAGUUCUGUGUCAGUGUAGGAGUUGUGAGUCGUGUAAGAGAGAGCUAGCUAAAGAUCCAUGUUCUGUUCCUGUAAAUAGUCCACUGUAUAUAAUAAACACC
Podarcis lilfordi (Lilford's wall lizard) is the source of this 1737-nucleotide non-coding RNA. NCBI's taxonomy places the organism in Eukaryota, Metazoa, Chordata, Lepidosauria, Squamata, Lacertidae. The record is from the annotation of a GenBank genome assembly.